Molecule: ribosomal RNA, 924 nt
Filed under: Triticum aestivum (bread wheat)
Lineage: Eukaryota; Viridiplantae; Streptophyta; Magnoliopsida; Poales; Poaceae
Description: partial small subunit ribosomal RNA
Source: RNAcentral
AUGAAUAAAACUUGGCUUUCCCCCAAAAAAAUAGUAUCACCAUCAAUAAAAAAAAUAGGUGAACGUAUGCGUUUUCCUAUAGGAAAACGUUUCAGAUCGGCGGGCCGGCCGAACGUUCCGCCGGUCGCGCUCGCACUCUCGCCCACAUGCACCCUGAUUCUCACGCGCACCACGUGUUUGUGGGGUCCCACGCGCACCAGCACGUUUUUAUCCCAGCACCGCUCAUCCACACAGUUCAGGUACGCCCUUAUCUCUUUCUUCAUCUUGUUUCUUUUCUUCCCCCUAGAGUGCUCGUCGUCCAGCCUUGCUUCCUCCCUUGCGCCGCCACAUCCUAGCUCCGACGAGCUCCACCACCGGCGACUCCCCUCUACUACUCUUUCUCUCUUUCGAACGAGUAUUUUUCCUUCCUCCCCCUCCUUCUCUACUGUUGACGCCGGGGGCCAUUCGCAGAUGCAUCUCACAAGGGCCGCGAGCUGGCAGUUGCGGCUACCGAGUCGCACGCGAGCUUCCACGGCGGCCACGCAGGGGAUGGGGGUGCUGCAACCGUGGAGUGCAGAUGCUGGAUCCACGGUGCGCAGAUGUUGGAACCAUCGGCGGGAGAUGCUGGAAGCUGCAACUUCCGGCGGUGACCACACCUGGCGCAGCGGAGCUGCAACCGUAGUUCGGCGGAGCUACAACCAUAAGCCGGUGGAGUUGCAACCAGCAAAACAAAUGCUGGAACCGGCGACAACAGUGCUGCGACGGCCACGACGGCGAUUCAUCCUUGCUGGAACCAGCAAAUUUUUUUGCUGGAAGCAUCUCCUUUUUUUGCUACGGCCCAGUGACGACGAUUCAUAUUUUUGCUGGAAGCGGCAAGUACUUUUGUUGGAACCAUUUUCUUUUUUUUGUUGCAAGCAUUAUUUCCUUUUGUUAUCACCGUUUUGA